GGAAGUAAAAGUCGUAACAAGGUCUCCGUUGGUGAACCAGCGGAGGGAUCAUUACCGAGUUAUCCAACUCCCAACCCCUGUGAAUUAUACCUUUAAUUGUUGCUUCGGCGGGACUUCGCGCCCGCCGGGGACCCAAACCUUCUGAAUUUUUUAAUAAGUAUCUUCUGAGUGGUUAAAAAAAUGAAUCAAAACUUUCAACAACGGAUCUCUUGGUUCUGGCAUCGAUGAAGAACGCAGCGAAAUGCGAUAAGUAAUGUGAAUUGCAGAAUUCAGUGAAUCAUCGAAUCUUUGAACGCACAUUGCGCCCGUCGGUAUUCUGGCGGGCAUGCCUGUUCGAGCGUCAUUACGCCCCUCAAGUCCCCUGUGGACUUGGUGUUGGGGAUCGGCGAGGCUGGUUUUCCAGCACAGCCGUCCCUUAAAUUAAUUGGCGGUCUCGCCGUGGCCCUCCUCUGCGCAGUAGUAAAACACUCGCAACAGGAGCCCGGCGCGGUCCACUGCCGUAAAACCCCCCAACUUUUUAUAGUUGACCUCGAAUCAGGUAGGACUACCCGCUGAACUUAAGCAUAUCAAUAAGCGGAGGA
This 581-nucleotide ribosomal RNA is filed under the name uncultured fungus. Its description in RNAcentral is "eukaryotic LSU rRNA". The stretch from base 190 to 343 matches the Rfam family "5.8S ribosomal RNA". The record is from RNAcentral. Lineage: Eukaryota; Fungi.